GCUGAAUUUGAUGAGAUGCACAUAUCUCGUAUGACUAUUUGGUACUUACAGUGUUAGACUUUGUCGUAACGUAAAUCAAAUUUACGCUGUAUUAUUCAUUACCAAGGAUUUAGAAAGGAACGAGAACAAUUAUUUACAAAAUCUCGCUGGGAUAAAUUCCGUGAAUGUGCCCAUGAAUGGCUAAAACUUGAUGGGCGAGCGAAAUGGAUAGCUGAACAGGCGACUUCGGGUGAUAUAAUCAAACAAGGAAUUUAUCGACGCGCCAAAAGAUACUGGAUUUCACCCAACAUGCUACAGGCCUUUUACAGACAAAUUCCGAAUUGGGUCUGCCCGUAAUCGUAUAGAUAAAGAAAAAUUAAAAUCCCCGGCUACAAUCCAACCAGGGAAUAGCGGGAGUGUAGACGAUCUGGGACCUAGCUCUCCAAACAAAUUACGCUCCUGAAGCAAAAAGAAAGAGUAAAUCGGUGCUGCCUGUUGUGUGUAUUAUAUGUAAAAAACGUGACAGAUUUGUCACUGUUGGAGAAAAUAGGAAGAAGGAUGUAUUAACACAGACUCAGACCCAAACAGGCUCAGGCCAACUGUUGAAAGCUGCUGAAUUGAAAGAGGAUGAAGAUAUUUUAAGGCAUAUCAGAGGGCAAGAUUGUGUGGCCAUUGAGGUCAGAUAUCACCAAAAAUGUUAUAGGCAAUAUACAUGUACUGAAUUUCUUAGACAGUUAUCAGAAAGCAAAGAUGACUAGCCCUCCGUCGAAUAUUAAACCACAUACAAUAUAUUCUGUGAAGAUGUCAUAAGAGAAAGAAUCAUAAAUGGCCAGCAAAGUUGUCUUGUACAGAGAGAGAGAGAGAGAGAGAAAUGGGGUUUAACGUCCACUCAACACAAACUAGGUCAUUUUGGGACUAACAUACGGUUUCAAUUUUAUUUCAAUAAUUCGCUUGCGCGUAUGGGUCUUUAGCAGUGAGAGGAAACCGGAGUGCCCGGAGGAAACCCACGAGGUUGAGAAGACGCCUCUAUCUCCAUGCCACAUACGCUCACACCUGGGAUCAAAGCCACAGCCACA
This is a long non-coding RNA of Patella vulgata (common limpet), 1055 nucleotides long. RefSeq lists it as uncharacterized. Lineage: Eukaryota; Metazoa; Mollusca; Gastropoda; Patellidae. The transcript is spliced from 3 exons. The record is from RefSeq and is a predicted model, not a curated record.